Molecule: ribosomal RNA, 449 nt
Filed under: uncultured bacterium
Lineage: Bacteria
Description: partial 16S ribosomal RNA
Rfam family: Bacterial small subunit ribosomal RNA
Source: RNAcentral
AACGAACGCUGGCGGCAGGCCUAACACAUGCAAGUCGAGCGCUCUAGCAAUAGGGAGCGGCGCACGGGUGCGUAACGCGUGGGAAUGUACUCCUUGGUACGGAACAACAUCGGGAAACUGAUGCUAAUACCGUAUAAUAUCUCCGGAUCAAAGAUUUAUCGCCAAGGAAUCAGCCCGCGUCAGAUUAGCUAGUUGGUGAGGUAAUGGCUCACCAAGGCUACGAUCUGUAGCUGGUCUUAGAGGAUGAUCAGCCACACUGGAACUGAGACACGGCCCAGACUCCUACGGGAGGCAGCAGUGAGGAAUCUUGGACAAUGGGGGCAACCCUGAUCCAGCCAUGCCGCGUGAGCGAUGAAGGCCUUCGGGUUGUAAAGCUCUUUUAGCUGUGAAGAUAAUGACGGUAACAGCAGAAAAAGCCCCGGCUAACUUCGUGCCAGCCGCCGCUGUAA